GCCUGCGUGGUGAAACUGGUAGACGCAAUGGACUCAAAAUCCAUCGGGAGAUGAUCUCGUGCCGGUUCAAGUCCGGCCGCAGGCACCA
RNAcentral lists this transfer RNA (88 nucleotides) under Bacilli bacterium. RNAcentral's name for it is "tRNA-Leu". It matches the Rfam family "tRNA". Rfam says of the family: Transfer RNA (tRNA) molecules are approximately 80 nucleotides in length. Their secondary structure includes four short double-helical elements and three loops (D, anti-codon, and T loops). RNAcentral also lists the same sequence under 1 other name. Lineage: Bacteria; Bacillati; Bacillota; Bacilli. The record is from RNAcentral.